CCUUCCUUUCUCUUUUUACUCUGUGACUCGAAGAGGCUUGGUUUCGGCGAAUAAGUUCCGAUUUUAUAAUAAUUCGUGAAAUAUAAAUGAGUGUGUGAAUUAUUACUUAAUUUUAUGUGUAUAUUUUAAACUAAACAAAGAAAAUAUGUUAGUUCUCUUUGAAACUCCGGCGGGAUACGCAAUAUUUAAGUUACUCGAUGAAAAGAAAUUAACAGAAACAGAAAAUUUGUUUCUAGAUUUUGAAACACCAGAAGCAGCAAACAAAAUUGUCAAAUUAAAACAUUUUGAAAAAUUUGAGGAUACUACAGAAGCUCUUGCUGCUACAACAGCUGCUGUAGAGGGAAAACUUUCUAAAUCUUUAAAAAGAACCCUUAAGAAACAUUUUUCAGAGCUUCAAGAAGAAUUAGCAGUGGCUGAUGCUAAAUUAGGGAAUGCAAUAAAAGAUAAACUUAGUUUAUCUUGUGUGAGCAAUACAGCAAUACAAGAACUAAUGAGAUGCAUUCGAAGUCAGGCAGAUGGAUUAUUAGCUGGUUUGCCCAAGAAAGAAAUGACAGCCAUGGCCUUGGGUUUAGCUCAUAGUCUUUCUAGAUAUAAGUUAAAAUUUUCACCUGAUAAAAUAGAUACCAUGAUAGUACAAGCGGUUUGUUUACUAGAUGAUUUAGAUAAAGAAUUAAAUAACUAUGUAAUGCGUUGCCGUGAAUGGUAUGGCUGGCAUUUCCCAGAACUUGGUAAAAUUAUAACAGACAAUAUUGCAUUUGUACGAAGCGUGAAAAUAAUUGGAACAAGAGAGAAUACAAUAAAUACAGAUUUAUCUGAUAUUUUGCCUGAGGAUAUCGAAGAGAAAGUUAAAGAAGCUGCUGAGAUAUCAAUGGGAACUGAAAUUUCAGAAGAUGAUAUCUUGAAUAUUCAACAUUUGUGUGAUCAAGUCAUAGAAAUUUCACAGUACAGAGCACAAUUAUAUGAUUAUCUUAAAACCAGAAUGAUGGCAAUGGCACCUAAUUUGACUAUUCUAGUUGGAGAACUAGUGGGUGCUCGUUUAAUUUCACAUGCAGGUUCUCUUAUCAAUCUUGCUAAACAUCCUGCUUCCACUGUACAAAUUCUUGGUGCAGAAAAAGCACUUUUUCGAGCAUUAAAAACCAAGAAAGACACUCCAAAAUAUGGUUUAAUUUACCAUGCACAGCUUGUAGGACAAUGUUCUGUCCAGAAUAAAGGAAAAAUGUCUAGAAUGCUUGCAGCAAAAGCUUCUUUAGCAACAAGAGUCGAUGCAUUAGGAGAAGAUGUGAAUUUUGAUCUUGGUACUGAACAUAAAGCUAAAUUAGAAAGUCGAUUAAGAAUACUUGAAGAAGGAAAUUUACAUAAAAUCAGUGGAACUAGUAAAGCAAAAAGUAAAUUUGAAAAAUACCAUUUCAAGAGUGAAGUUGUCCAAUAUCCAGUAGCUGCAGAUACAACUCUUACAAGUAAUAAGAGAAAAUAUUCUGAUAUAGAAGAUAAGACAGUAACUGAAGAAAGUGAAACACAAAUGAGCAAGGAAAUUCCAAAAAAGAAGAAAAAGAAAGAUAUUGAGGAUAUUGAAGGAUCCUCACAAAUACAAAAUGUAGAAAAAGAUGGAAAUGAACAAGAAAUUACAUCCAAGAAAAAAAAUAAAAAAGUCAAGCAGGAAUCCAAGCAGCAUGAAGAAAUAAGUGAAUCUACAAUUGCGAAAAUAGAAGAAGAUACAAAUGUUGUUGCAACCCUAAGUGAACCACAGGAUGAAAGUAAUGUUUCAGAGUCUAAGAAGAAGAAAAAAAAGAAGAAAGAAAAACAUGUUGUGGAAACACAAGGGACUUCUAUUUCAGUAGAAGCAGCAGAGGGUGAAUCAGUUUUGACAGAGAAGAAAAAAAAAAAGAAAAAAAAAGUACAACAAGAUGAAUAACUUUCAUUGAAAGUUUUCUUUAGAUUUAUAUGUGUUUAUAUCUAUAUAAACAGUUUAAAGGAUUGAUCAUUAAUACAUUGGGUGCUCAACACAUUUCAAAUGUGACUCUGGAGGUGUACAAAAGUCCAUAAACACCCCAGGUGAAGUUUAUGACUUGCUUCCAGUUUUUCCCAGGUAAGCAGAGGUAAUGAGGUCUCUGUGAAAACACAUCUACUACAAAUUAGUGACGCGAUACUCAAAGUGUUAAAGGUAUCAUCGUAAUGCAAAUAAGAGUUUGAUUUUAUUUUAUAAAUUAUAAAUAUACUGCAGAAAAAACUUUCCAAUUACACAUUGAAUCGCGAAAAUAAUAUUAUAUGUAUAUAGUUCUUAUUUGAAUGUAUUAAAAAUAAUCGGUUCUAGGCAUAAUUGUAUACGAUACAAUGUAGAAUAAUUUAUAUAAACUUGAUAUGAAAUACUAUUUUAUUACGUAGUUGUUUAAUCAUCAAGUUUAUCAUGUAUUAUCAUUGUAGAAGUUCUGUAAGAUACUGUACACAAUUACAUAUUUGUGAAUUUAUUGUUUACUCUUGCUUCCUAUAUCAAACUAUUUUAAGUCAUAAUUAAAUCAUUUAAACCAUUUAUUCCUUAGCAGAAAACUAUUAUUUUGUAAAGAUUAUGUUCAUUUCUUAUAACUUUUAUUGAAUAAUAAAAGAAUAUUCAAUCGAAAUUAACAUAUAUUGUAUAUUGUAUUAUUGCAAUGAAAUUUACAAAAACUGUUAUGUACAUAAUAAAAGUAAAUCACUUUUAUAUAAUUAAAUUUUGGUUUAUAUCAUUUACAUUAUAUUAUAUUAUAUAAAAAUAUCACUGAAGAAAAUGCUAAUCUAUUAAUUUAUUGAGUAGAUCCUCAUAUGAUUUAAAGGUGUUUUAAAUUGAAUAUCUUAAAAUAAUUAUUUUGUUUUCAAUAAAUUAAUAAAUAUUUUAUAUAACAAGAUACAAUACUAUGUAUAUGUAUUCUUUUAACAUUUGAUAAAAAUUGAUUUUUCAUAUCAUAACUUAAUAUUUAUGGGUUUCAUUUGAAUAAGGAUUGUAGUAAUCACUUUUCAUACAUGAUUUUAACAUAUCUUUAUUGUUAUACACAUACACAAAAAUAAGCUGAUGUUAAAUGUAAAUUUUCAAUGCUAGCAUAAUUGUAUAAUCCAUUUGUAAUAUUUAUAGAGCAAUUCUUAUGCAGGAAAAGUACAAAAUGUUAUAUAGGACAAUAAAAAAGAUAUUCUCAGAAAUCAUUAUAUAAUCACUUAAUAAACUUAUACAAAUGUAUUUUGUACUUUAUUGUAAAUUGGUGUAUGGAUUACUUAUAUUAUUGCAAAAUAACAUAACUUAAUUUUAUUACCAAAUAUUUGGCAAGACACAAAUAUUUUUUACAAUUAUUAAUGAUUUAAACAGUUUUUAUUUAUUAUGUUAGAUAAAUAUAACAAUCUUUAGUUUAUUAACGAACAUAGGUUAUAGAUAUAUUGUCAUCAAAGAAUUGCAUAUUAUUGUAAUUGUUAGAUUUGAAUACUAAUAUACUAAAAAAUAAAAUGCUUGGAAUUAUGAAGAACUAUUAAAGCAUUCUAUAUGCAUACCUACCAGAACCUUUCUAUAUAUACGUAUUCUAUCAAAAUAGAAAUAUUAUUUUCCAAAACAGAUCCACACGUAUUAUUUUGUUACUAUGUUUACAUUUAUUUGAUAAAUGUAUAUAUAUAUAUAUGUUCCAUAUAUAUUACAUGUGUUUUUUUGCAAUAGUAUUUUAUAUCAUAUAAAUCAUAGUUGAAAACUAUUAUUAUAAUUAUUUAGUCAUCAUAAAAUUUAAUUGUUUUAAACAUUAUCAGUUAUUAAAAAAUUUAUGAUUAAGAUUCAUAUGCACACACUUGAACUAUAAGUAUUAUUUUACAUUUUAAUGUAUAUAAAAUUGAUACAUGUAACUCGUAGAUAUAAUUAUUUUUAUAUAGGCUAAAAUAAUAGUCUAUCAUUAAAAAUAUAAUUUCCCCUUAAUCCUUUUCUUUCUUAUAAAAAAAUUAUUAUAGCAAAUUGAUUAUAUAUUGUUUAUUCUCCAACACUUUAUGAUCAGGUAAAUUGAAUUCUCAAAUCGUAUUAUGAAUCUGAGACAACAUUGCUUCGUGCAAUGUUUAAGUUCAUAAAUACAGCUAUUAAAUUCUAAAUAUUUUAAAUGAUUACUUAUUAAUAAUAAUAAAUUUCUAUAAAUUGAUGCAUAGAAAUUUUAUAUUCGUUUAUGAUUUUUAUGCGUAUAUGCUGUUUAAAAAUAUACAUAACCAAAAAUGUAUGUAUAAUAAGUUUCAUGUGUGACACAAAUAUAUAUAUAUAUAUGUAUAUAUAUAUAUUUGAUCUUCUAUUGAUAGGAAUGUGAGUAUUGCAAUCUAGGAUAAGUAAAGAUAUAUACAAAUGAAAUUAUUAUAAUAAAAAAAAUGAAUAUAUAAUGAUUUUUUAAAUCUAUUAUAUAUAUCAUACUAUGGUUAUAUGAAUUUGUAGCAAAUUUAAUUUUAUAUAAAAAUCAGAUCAUCUUAUUGGCUUGCCAAAAACUAAGAUAGUUCAUGAUUAGUGGUGUAAAUAAACAGUAUAAUUUUGAAAUAUUAACAUUUUAUAUUGUAAACUAGAAAAAUGUAUAAGUCUGUAUGUAUAGGUAUAUAUCAAAUUACUUAUGCUUAUUUUUAAAAUAUUGAAUUAUGUGCAUUAUAUGCUGCAACUUUUUAUUCUGAAGAAGAUUAACCAAUUAUAUAUUUUUUUCUAAUUUAUUGUUAAUUAUGGAUUAGAAAUUUUAAGAGCACAAUAUUUAAAAGAUCAAUAACAUGUUUUGGGAUACUAAAAGAAACAAAUUAUGUACUUUAUAAAAUAAAUUGCAUAUUAUUGCAUAUAAUUUUUCAUAAUGGUAUUAAAUUUUAUAUCAUUAAAAUAUCAACACAUUGAUAUGUAAUAUAAAAUGUAAAGAAUAAUGCAAGCAUCUAUUUAUCUGUAAGCAUGUAGAUAGCAGUGCAAAUACAUAUAUACUGCUCUAUUUUGCUGAAUAUUUUGAACUCCACAUGCAAAGUUCAAUGUUAGAAAAAGCAUAAAGUUGUAAUGUUUAAUUUUAUCAUAAAUUAUUAUUUCAAAAUACAUAUAAGAAAUCAAA
This is an RNA transcript of Vespula vulgaris, 5051 nucleotides long. It is a transcript of the gene named nucleolar protein 58, with no coding region annotated. The transcript has 5 exons. The record is from RefSeq and is a predicted model, not a curated record. NCBI's taxonomy places the organism in Eukaryota, Metazoa, Arthropoda, Insecta, Hymenoptera, Vespidae.